CGUACACUCCUACGGGAGGCAGCAGUGGGGAAUAUUGGACAAUGGGCGCAAGCCUGAUCCAGCCAUGCCGCGUGAGUGAUGAAGGCCCUAGGGUUGUAAAGCUCUUUCACCGGUGAAGAUAAUGACGGUAACCGGAGAAGAAGCCCCGGCUAACUUCGUGCCAGCAGCCGCGGUAAUACGAAGGGGGCUAGCGUUGUUCGGAUUUACUGGGCGUAAAGCGCACGUAGGCGGACUAUUAAGUCAGGGGUGAAAUCCCGGGGCUCAACCCCGGAACUGCCUUUGAUACUGGUAGUCUUGAGUUCGAGAGAGGUGAGUGGAAUUCCGAGUGUAGAGGUGAAAUUCGUAGAUAUUCGGAGGAACACCAGUGGCGAAGGCGGCUCACUGGCUCGAUACUGACGCUGAGGUGCGAAAGCGUGGGGAGCAAACAGGAUUAGAAACCCGAGUAGUCCCAUGA
Molecule: ribosomal RNA, 454 nt
Filed under: uncultured organism
Description: partial 16S ribosomal RNA
Rfam family: Bacterial small subunit ribosomal RNA
Source: RNAcentral